GACAGAACACUCAGUAAUUGGAGGUAGGACCUAAUGGGAAAUGGUUGGGUCAUGGGGGCUCUGCUCUCAUGAGUGGAUUAAUGCUGUUAUUAUGGGAGUGGGUUCCUCAUAAAAAAAUGAGUUCAGCCACCUAUUGGCCUCCAGCCCUCUCUCUCUUUCUGCCCUUCCACCCUCCACCAUGGGGUGGACAGCAAGAAGCUCCUCACCAGAUGCCAACACCUUGAUUUUGGGACUCCCCAGCCUCCAGAACUCCAUGAGAUAAAUUUCUCUUCAUUAUAAUUUACCCCAUGUAUUGGUAUUUUUAUUAUAGCAGCAAAAAGUAGACUAAGACACCUUUCCACCUUCUCAUUUCUUCUCAUAUUCAUUGGCCAGAAUUAAAUCUGUGGAGAAUUUGACCUGGAUCAAUCAAGACCCAUCACCCCAGGGCUGGAGAAGGGCUCAGACUCCCCUAAAGCUCUGAGCCCUAGAGCCCCUGAACAGAUUCCGUUAAUAAACAAGAAGCAGGGGGACCAGUGGACCCAGCUAGAAGCGGUUUAUGUGGCUACUUACUGUAUUUUCUUUUUUUAAAUUUCCUUUUUUGUUUUACUUUUGAAAUGCAUGAUGGUUAUACUACAGUCCUAGGAUUCAGGAAAACUUCUAAUUCCACAUCUAACCUUUGCUAAGGGUUAGAUGCCAAACUACCUUUUGUUUGAGUUUUUCCAUCCAUUAAAUGAACUUGGGAUGAGAGUGGGAAUGUGGGUGGUCAGAGUGACCAGAUGAACUUUAAGAUACCUUGCAUCUCUAAAAUUUUAAUUAUUUGAAAGUUAAUGAUCCAUGUGAAAAACUUAACUUAGCUGUGGCAACCACAUAACACCACCACCACCACCCCACCCUACCCUCUGUUUGAAAUGCUUGUUCUUCAGUGCCGCAAAGAAAUAGCACUUGAACAUUAAUUUCUUCAGCAAGGUCAUUUUUAUACUUUCUGCAGAAAGGGUACACUCGCCAGCAGUUUUGCCACGAGAGAACACCGAACAAAGGAGACAGGGUCAUUUAUAACUUGACAAGUCCACUUUACUGCUGUGUCCAGUUUCCAUUGGCUGGAACGGGACCUCACAUUCUGUAUUUGUCCUGAUUGGCUAGCAACUUAGAACUUUUUAAAAGAGGCAAAGGCAGAGGAGAAUGAAGGAGGAAGUAACUUGUGGAAUGCUGAGAAACGUAAAAACACCUUCAGAUAAGGAAGAGGAACAGGCUAUGACCUAAUGCUUGCUUGGACCAGUAUAAGCAUUGCCAGGGCAAAUAGGCUAAAUUGUGGGAGCUAAGAACAUAAAGUACAUUGAUUUCUUUAUUACGGCUAGCAGAUAUUUAAGAAUGUUAGCACAGGUCUUUGAAUAAGUUUUGCUCCUAAGAGAAGUUACUAUUUAUUCUUAAUUAGACAGGGAGGAAAGUCUUUGAAGAGGAACCUCACUUUACUUUUUACACCCCUAAGAACCAUGAUGAUAGACUGCAAAAAAGCAUCCCAUCAACCAUCACUUUUUCCAGGAAAUGGCUGGCCACAGAAAACUCUCCGCCCCUUUCCUCUUUUGAAAUGGUCCCAGACUGCUCACCUGCCUCCUUGAAGCUAAUCAAGUCAAAUGUACUUGAAGACCACUUUGUCUCUUGGCUUGCUUCCACAAAUCCUACCCUUAUAUGACAUUUGCCAAGUCAACACUGUCAGUAUUUCUCCUUUUUACUCUAUAACGUCUUAACACCUCUGAACACUUACCAAAACAAAGGUUUCAGCAGAAGGGUUCCCCUGCUGCACGUUUAUGAAUAAAUAGCCUUUGUCGAUUUUAUCUUGGACUUAGUUUUGUCUCUGACACAUGUGGAAUGGAUGUCUGUUAGAAUUCUGCCCUUGCCACACCUCUUGCUUCCUGGAUAAAUGUGGGUUCACUUGGGUUGAUGACCUUGGGCUACACUGGCUUCUUCAGAACCCCUGAGAAGCGUGUAGGGAUUCUCAUUCAGACCUCUAGAAUUGAGUGAAUCAGUGAAGGGCAGCUGACACCAAAAAUGCAUUAAAAUGUCAAGGCCGGCAGCCCUCUAGCUUCUGGCUGGAGUGUGUGAUGAUUUCGUCUGAAUUCCCUGAGUUCAAGGCAUGCAGUGGGCACAUCGACUAUGGGCCCAUCAGAGGCUGAGUUUGCAGCAGCAGCUGUCCUGUACAGCAUGCAGCAAAACGGCUGUCAGCUCUUAUUAGGAAGGUAGAAACAUGCCAGUGGGUAUGUAUGCAGGACUAGUGUAUCCUUGGAUGUGCCUGUUACUGACCACUGUGGUUCUGUUUAACAUUAAUUUGUAUAUUUCUCAAAGCAUCACAUGCCCAAGAUUUAGGCAAGUAAAUUCAGUUAACCACAGAGUAUACUUUUAUGCCUUUCCUGUGAUAACACCAUUCUAGAUGCUAAGAGUGAAUGUAGGAUAGGACAGAAAAGUGCUGCUGGCAAGGACCUUACAUUCAUGCCAGUGAAGGAGACCCAAAACAGAUGGGCAAAUAAUGCCAGCCGUCUGGAAGCAAUGGAGUGAAGUGGCCAAGUGAAGUCCUGGAGGAAAAUUGUUCUAGGCUAAGUCCCUGAAGGGUGGUGAGUUUGGGGUGCUGGGGAAACAGCAGUAUGACCUUUAGAGACAGAGCAAAGGUGUGAGGGACAGAGUUAGGCAGGGGCCAGGUGAGGCAGGCUAUUACAAUGUAAGUCUAGUGAGCAGUGGAUUCCAGCAGGAGAAUUAUGUCUAUUUGUUUUGGGGAGAGUGUUUUGAGACAAGGUCUGAUCUGUCACCCAGGUUGGAGUGCAGUGGUGUAAUCACAGCUCACGGCAACCUCAACCUCCCAGGCUCAAGCGAUCCUCCCACCUUAGCCUCCCGAGUAGCACAUGCCACUGUGUCGAGCCGUUUGUUUUUUUAAAAUCCUCUGGAAACUGGGAAAUUGACUGAAAGGUAGUAUUCCUCCAAGCCCUUGAAUCUAGGCUGGCCUUGUGACUACUUUGAUCAUUACAAGGCAGUGGGAAAGGAUGUUCUGGGACUUCAAGCCCAGGCCUCAAUAGGACUGCCAGCUUCUACUUCCUUCUCAGAACACUAGCUCUGAGCCCAAGCUACAUGGAGAGGCCAUCGUCCUAGCUGAGAACCUAGCCAGCUGCCACCAUGUGAAUGAACCACGGUGAACACUCAGCCCAUUCAAGCCCACAAAUGCCCACAGCUCCAGCCACAUCACAUGAAUAGAGGAACCACCCCACUCAGCCCAGGAAAACCAGAGUUGUGAGACUGAAUCACUUGGUUUUGAAGUUUAUUUCACAGCAAUAGAUAAGUGAAACAA
RNAcentral lists this long non-coding RNA (3310 nucleotides) under Homo sapiens (human). RNAcentral's name for it is "HSALNT0263377". The record is from RNAcentral. Lineage: Eukaryota; Metazoa; Chordata; Mammalia; Primates; Hominidae.